This is a long non-coding RNA of Scatophagus argus, 237 nucleotides long. RefSeq lists it as uncharacterized. The transcript is spliced from 3 exons. NCBI's taxonomy places the organism in Eukaryota, Metazoa, Chordata, Actinopteri, Scatophagidae. The record is from RefSeq and is a predicted model, not a curated record.
UAUUAGAUUGGAUUCAAACCGACAACAGCUGGAUGUAACAUCAUUGGCUCAGUGACAACUUCCCCCUGAGAACAUCCCAUUUGAAGCCUUGCUAUGGCCAGGAAGCAGCAACCAUCUGAGCUGUCAGCCCGUCUGAACAGACGCGAGGGAGACUAACUGAUGUCUUCAUCCCUGACCGUGGCCCUCCUAGACUGCUGUUAUUGUUAGAGGAGAAAUUAGCCUUCAGUUCGCCUGGCU